GGUCCAUGAUGCAGACACUUCCUCAAUAAAUCCUUGAAUCUUUCCCACACUUCAUAAAGUGUUUCUAUAUCAACUUACAAGAAAUUGGUGAUAUCAAUCCUUAUCUC
Hevea brasiliensis (rubber tree) is the source of this 107-nucleotide small nucleolar RNA. The record is from RefSeq and is a predicted model, not a curated record. Lineage: Eukaryota; Viridiplantae; Streptophyta; Magnoliopsida; Malpighiales; Euphorbiaceae.